AGAGAGAGACCUGAGACAGAUGUCAAUGAGAGAGUUUAGACAGACAGAUAGGUCAGUGAUACAGUGUAGAAUAAAAUAGGAUUCCGAUGCCAAGCUCGCCCUCUGUCCACAUAAGAUACAGUCAUAGAUUCUCUUCCCUACUAUACUCACCAGAAUAGACGCCUGACACCCCAACAAUGAGCAGCAGGAACACGGGACCCAUUGUGUCCCCAGCGCAGUGAUUCAUAGACAGCUAAAAACUCUCAGCCUGGACUGUGCUGGGAGGGGGGAGCUCUGUAUAUAUAGAGGGAGAAGGAGCUUUGUGCUGAUUGGAUGCAGCUUCACCAUCUGUCCAAUGGGAAAAU
Non-coding RNA from Pelobates cultripes (western spadefoot toad), 344 nucleotides. The record is from the annotation of a GenBank genome assembly. Lineage: Eukaryota; Metazoa; Chordata; Amphibia; Anura; Pelobatidae.